GACGAACGCUGGCGGCGUGCUUAACACAUGCAAGUCGAACGAUGAAGCUGGAGCUUGCUCCGGUGGAUUAGUGGCGAACGGGUGAGUAACGCGUGAGUAAUCUGCCCUUGACUCUGGAAUAACUGCGGGAAACUGUAGCUAAUACCGGAUACGACACCUUCGGGCAUCCGAUGGGUGUGGAAAGAAUUUCGGUCAAGGAUGAACUCGCGGCCUAUCAGCUAGUUGGUGAGGUAAUGGCUCACCAAGGCGACGACGGGUAGCCGGCCUGAGAGGGUGACCGGCCACACUGGGACUGAGACACGGCCCAGACUCCUACGGGAGGCAGCAGUGGGGAAUAUUGCACAAUGGGCGAAAGCCUGAUGCAGCAACGCCGCGUGAGGGAUGAAGGCCUUCGGGUUGUAAACCUCUUUUAGUUGGGAAGAAGCGAAAGUGACGGUACCAACAGAAAAAGCACCGGCUAACUACGUGCCAGCAGCCGCCGUAA
RNAcentral lists this ribosomal RNA (484 nucleotides) under uncultured bacterium. RNAcentral describes it as "partial 16S ribosomal RNA". It matches the Rfam family "Bacterial small subunit ribosomal RNA", at positions 28 to 523 of the family's 1533-position model. The record is from RNAcentral.